UACGGAGGGUGCAAGCGUUAUCCGGAUUCACUGGGUUUAAAGGGUGCGUAGGUGGGCUAGUAAGUCCGUGGUGAAAUCUCCAAGCUUAACUUGGAAACUGCCGUGGAUACUAUUAGUCUUGAAUAUUGUGGAGGUAAGCGGAAUAUGUCAUGUAGCGGUGAAAUGCUUAGAUAUGACAUAGAACACCGAUAGCGAAGGCAGGUUACUACUAAUGGAUUGACGCUGAUGGACGAAAGCGUGGGUAGCGAACAGG
This 253-nucleotide ribosomal RNA is filed under the name uncultured bacterium. Its description in RNAcentral is "partial 16S ribosomal RNA". It matches the Rfam family "Bacterial small subunit ribosomal RNA", at positions 524 to 776 of the family's 1533-position model. The record is from RNAcentral.